Molecule: unclassified non-coding RNA, 647 nt
Filed under: Anthonomus grandis grandis
Lineage: Eukaryota; Metazoa; Arthropoda; Insecta; Coleoptera; Curculionidae
Description: pupal cuticle protein 20-like
Source: RNAcentral
UAUACAACGAACCAGUCGAAAGAACUAUUACGGUACUAUUGACCUCAAUGGGUGUUGAUAUUCUUCGGCCGAGGUUCUUCGAAUGAUCUUGACGACCUUGAUUGACUUGACCCUAGAAUAUCAAGUUUAUUUUUUACAACAAUCGUGUGCUAUAUAAGAUUUUGCAUCAGCAGAGGCAUUAAUAAGCUUUCCGGUGCAUCCGACGAUCUCAAGAGAUACAGAACCGCCAAAUUUACCUGCUGCUGUUUUUAAUAUAUUUUGGGGUGCUCCAAGGGAAACCCUUGGAAAACUUGGACACUCUUAUCAACUAUGAUGUCAACCUGGACUUGCCCGACGGAUUCCAUUACAGUUUUCGAACAAAUAAAGGUGCUAGUGCAAAAGUGAGAGGGAUAGUGCUGGCCAAAGAUGAUCUGACAAUAGAAGGAAGCUAUGGCUUCAUAACUGACGGAUCCAGUGUUCAAGUGUCUUAUGAAGCUGACGAAAAUGGCUUUAGGCCACACGUGGUGCAAACGAAUUUACCUGAGACGACCCCUGUUGACAAAAGCAUGAGCAGGCCAGAAGUUAUUAUUGGCACUGCUUGUUUGGCUUCUUUGAGUGGUGGAGGUUGUGGUUGAACUGCAUUUAGUAAAUAUAUUUAUCUUAAAAUC